AGUAAAAGUCGUAACAAGGUUUCCGUAGGUGAACCUCGCGGAAGGAUCAUUAUUGAAAUAAACCUGAUGGGGUUGUUGCUGGUUCUCUAGGGAGCAUGUGCACACCUUGUCAUCUUUACAUCUCCACCUGUGCACCUUUUGUAGGCCUUCCAGGUCUAUGUUGCUUUUUCAUUUACCCCAAUGUAUGUUAAUAGAAUGUUGUGCAUAUAAAAAUCUAUACAACUUUCAGCAACGGAUCUCUUGGCUCUCGCAUCGAUGAAGAACGCAGCGAAAUGCGAUAAGUAAUGUGAAUUGCAGAAUUCAGUGAAUCAUCGAAUCUUUGAACGCACCUUGCGCUCCUUGGUAUUCCGAGGAGCAUGCCUGUUUGAGUGUCAUUAAUAUAUAUCAACCUUCUCAUUUCUGAGUGGUUUGGAUGUGGGGGUUUGCUGGCCUCUUAAAUGAGUUCAGCUCCUCUGAAAUGCAUUAGCAGAACAACCCCUGUUCAUUGGCGUGAUAACUAUCUAUGCUAUUGAAUGUGAGGGACAGUUCAGCUUUCUAACGGUCCUUGGACAACUUAUCAUUUAUGUGACCUCAAAUCAGGUAGGACUACCCGCUGAACUUAAGCAUAUCAAUAAGC
This 616-nucleotide ribosomal RNA is filed under the name Cortinarius sp. OSC 1064267. RNAcentral describes it as "eukaryotic LSU rRNA". The stretch from base 221 to 374 matches the Rfam family "5.8S ribosomal RNA". The record is from RNAcentral. Lineage: Eukaryota; Fungi; Basidiomycota; Agaricomycetes; Agaricales; Cortinariaceae.